RNAcentral lists this ribosomal RNA (3705 nucleotides) under Triticum aestivum (bread wheat). RNAcentral's name for it is "partial small subunit ribosomal RNA". Lineage: Eukaryota; Viridiplantae; Streptophyta; Magnoliopsida; Poales; Poaceae. The record is from RNAcentral.
AUGGAGAUGAAGAUGGCCGUCGGCGCGGCCAACUGGCUCGUCGGCAAGGUGCUCACCAAGCUGUUCGACCCGCUGGUGUCCGCCUACAUGGACAGCUCCGACCUCGGCAGCAACUUCCUGACCGCCAAGAACCAGCUUCAGUACACACAGGGGCUGCUGUCUGCAUCCGUGGGCAGGGACGUGGGCGACGAUCCUGGCCUGCGCGGACUGCUGGGGACGUUGAGCAAGAAGGCCGACGAGGCCGAGGACGUACUCGAUGAGCUCCACUACUUCAUGAUCCAGGACGAGGUCGAUGGCACCAAGGAGGCUGCUGCGGAGAUGGGCGGCAGCAUCAAGGGCCAUUCGGUCCAUGGACGCCAUGUUGCUCGCUACACCCUCGGCAACUGCCUUCCGUGCUUUUCAUCUCCGCGCACUCUAGGUGAUGAUCCUCCUCCUGCAGUUGUUGCUGCUGCUGCUGCUACCAGUAGUGAAGACAUGCCUGGUGCUAGUAAUGAUGAUGGCGAUGUUGAUAUUAAGUUGUCAUUCAACAGAGUAGCCAUGUCCAAGAAAAUCAAGUCUGUCAUAGAGGAGAUGAACUCCAUAUGCCUGCUUGUCUCUGACCUGCUCAAAGUCAAAACUGCAGACCACAGUAGCAUUGCAUUAAGCACACAUGCCACCAUUGAAAGGCCUCCAACUGGUUCCAUAGUUCCACAAGAUAGAAAACUGUAUGGAAGGAAUGACAUUUUUGAGCAAACUGUAAAUGCACUUACCGGUGGCACAUACCAUGAUAAAACCCUCUCUGUUCUGCCUUUAGUUGGCCCGGGGGGCAUCGGAAAGACAACCUUCACACAGCACCUGUAUAAUGAUGAAAGGAUCAAGGGGCACUUCCCUGUCAGGGUCUGGGUAUGUGUCUCAACUAGUUUUGAUGUGAUCAGGCUCACCAAGGAGAUACUUGGCUGCAUAUCUGGAACUAAUGCCAACACAUAUGAAACAACAAAUUUAGAUCAACUUCAAAGAGCCAUUGCAGAGAAACUAGACUCCAAGAGGUUCUUAAUUGUGUUGGAUGAUGUGUGGACAUGCAAUAGCGAGCGUGAUUGGGAAAACCUAUUAGCCCCACUCACAAUAGGGGAAACCAAGGGCAGCAUGGUUCUUGUCACUACCCGUUUGCCAUCUGUAGAACAAAUGGUCAAAACAACUGAUCCAGUAAAACUGCAUGGUUUAGAUCCUGAUGACUUCUUUGCAUUGUUCGAAGCAUGUAUAUUUGCUCAUAACAAACCCAGGCUUUAUGAUGAUGACUUAGUUAAUGUUGCAAGAGAUAUUGCAAAGAAACUGAAGGGUUCGCCACUUGCAGCAAAUACAGUUGGCCGGCUGUUGAAGAAAAACAUCUGUUGGCAAUACUGGAUGGGAAUUCUUGAAAAGAAUGAAUGGCACAGUGCAAAAAAUGACGAUGAUAUUUUCCCAUCUCUGCAAAUCAGCUAUAACUACCUUCCUUUCCAUCUGCAGAAAUGCUUUUUUUAUUGUGCCCUCUUCCCAGAAGAUUACAAGUUUUAUGAUUUGGAAAAAAUCACUAACUUCUGGAUCACAAUGGGUAUUAUAGACUCAAAUUGCCAAAAUGACAAGAAUUACUUAGAAGAACUAGUGGACAAUGGUUUCCUCAUAAAGGAUAGUGAUAUGAAUGGUGAAUACUACGUGAUGCAUGAUUUAUUGCAUGAACUAUCUCGGCAUGUUUCAUCACAAGAGUGUGUGAAUAUAAGUAGUUUAAGUUUUAGAGCCAAUGACAUGCCACAAUCUGUUCGGCACUUAUCAAUCACUGUAAGAGAUAAAUAUGAUAAAAGUUUUGGAGAGGAAAUAGGUAAACUCAAGAGUGUAAUAGACAUUGGAAAUCUGCAUAGCUUGAUGAUUUUUGGAUUACAUGAUGUAGAAACAUGUACUAUUCUGAAAGAUGCAUUUGAAGGAAUAAAGAGUCUCCGGGUUCUAUUUAUACCUAGCUUUCCAAAAGAUUUGCCAAAGAGCUUUUCAAAUCUUAUCCACCUCCAAUACCUUAAACUCACACCACCUAGUGAUGAGAGAUAUAAUAAGCAUCCACCUAGAACAUUACCAAGAUUUUACCUUUUGAAAUUCUUGGACCUCUAUGAUUGGCACUAUUAUAUAAUUUUCUUUCCUAAAAGCAUUAGCCUUCUCAUGAGUUUACGCCAUCUUUAUUCUGAGGAAGAACUCCAUUCCAGUAUCCCUGAGGUUGGAAAGAUGAAGUGGUUACAGGAGCUAAGAGAAUUUCAUGUUAAGAAAGAAAGUGUUGGAUAUGAACUGAGCCAGCUGGGGGAAUUGACAGAGCUUGGAGGACAGCUUGCUAUAUGUAAUCUUGAAACCGUGGCAUCCAAAAAAGAAGCUAAUGAUGCUAAAUUGAAGGAUAAAAGAAAUCUGAAAGAAUUGGAAUUAGUUUGGGGUGCAGGGCAAAAGAUUACAGAUGGUGAUAUUCUCGAGGGUCUUCAACCACCCCCUAAUCUUAGAAAGCUUGGCAUUAUAGAUUAUGGUUUUGCCACUGGUCCUAGCUGGUUGUGCAGUGACAUUAGCAUAAAAAGGCUGGAGUCUCUACAUCUGAAUGGUAUAUAUUGGGGCACUCUUCCACCUUUUGAGCAGUUACCACACCUCACCAACCUCCAACUGGAGAAUAUUGCUGGGAUUCGUGUGUUUGGGCCUGGAUUUAUUGGUCUUACAGAGAGAAGUUUUAUGCACCUGAAGACAGUUAUCAUUGGGGAUAUGCCAGAACUUGAGGAAUGGGUCGGGGGACCCAAUAGCCCUUUGUUUUCAAGGCUUGAAAGCAUUGAAUGCUGGUGUUGCCCCCUUCUGUCCUCGUUUUCCUUCUUGCAGUGUUGUACCAACCUUUGCCGACUUCGUAUUGCUGAUUGCCCAGAGUUAUCUCAGUUCCCCUCUCUGCCUCAUACUUCUACACUAACAGACAUUUCUCUGCACAACCGGUUUACCAUAGGUUUGACGUAUGAUGGAAAGUGUUUGUCUGCUUAUAGGUAUGAUGGUGCUUUGGCCUUCCAAAAUAUGGAUAAAGUAGAGUCUAUAGAUAUUGAUGGAUCACCACAUGUCUCAUUGUCAGUGUCAGACCUCCAAAAGAUGAACUCCCUGAGAAAACUACUUGAAUUCGACGGCGCCAGCAUAUUCUCUGCAGAAUGGUUCAAUCCAGUCGUCCUCGAGGAAUUGGCAGCCCAUGACAAGUCUUUGGACGAAAAAAAUACCUCUGUAGCUGCAGGUCUGAUCCCAGAGGUGGCGAUGAGCAAAUAUUUGCACCCAGGUUCAUUCCAACUGGAAGAAAUGCGGGUGGGUAACAUCCUGGCAGUGCUUAUUGCUCCCAUUUGCAGACGCCUUGCCGCUACCCUUCACACAUUAGGGUUCUGCUAUGAUAACGUGACUGAAACCUUCACGGAAGAGCAAGCUCAAGCGCUUAAUCUUCUCACCUCCCUCAAAAGUCUAGAAUUUUUAAGGUGCAACCUGCAGUCUCUCCCUCGGCUAUAUGGCCUUUCUUCUCUCGAGAAAUUUUCGAUCAUGAGAUGUGAUGGAAUCGAAUCACUGCCGUCCAAGGAGGACCUCCCCGCUUCACUGCUGAAACUAAACGUAAGUGGCUGCGGUGAUGAGAUAAAAGAGCAAGCCGAGAAACUUAAAGAAGCAAACCCUUGUUUAUCUGUUUAUGAGGAUACAAUCUUAUACUACUAUCCAUAG